UACGGAGGGGGCUAGCGUUGUUCGGAAUUACUGGGCGUAAAGCGCACGUAGGCGGCUUUGCAAGUUAGAGGUGAAAGCCCGGAGCUCAACUCCGGAAUUGCCUUUAAAACUGCAUCGCUAGAAUUGUGGAGAGGUAAGUGGAAUUCCGAGUGUAGAGGUGAAAUGCGUAGAUAUCUGGAGGAACACCGGUGGCGAAGGCGGCAUCCUGGACCGACACUGACGCUGAUGCGCGAAAGCCAGGGGAGCAAACGGG
Molecule: ribosomal RNA, 253 nt
Filed under: uncultured bacterium
Lineage: Bacteria
Description: partial 16S ribosomal RNA
Rfam family: Bacterial small subunit ribosomal RNA
Source: RNAcentral